CUCAUAGUUUUAACUUUUAUUGAUAUUUUAUUUAGUAAAGGAAUCUUUGAGUAAUAGUUAAAAAAAAUCUUUCGCAUUCUGUAGCUAAAUCAUGUGUUGUUGCUAUAUUAUAAACUUUCGUGCAUGAGCCAUUUAAAUCCGUUUGCAUUACUUUUUUAGUUGUUUCCCCUGGAAAAUUCUCUUCUUGCUAGCCUUCGCUGAGUUAUUCAACAACAUCGCUAUAUUGCUGAUUUUUGUUGUUGUUUUUUGGUUAAAGCUGCAUGCUUUUGUUGGAUAAUGUUUAAUUUAUCAUUCACGUUUUACAUAUGAUUCUGUUUAAACCAUAUUUAAUCGAUGUUUUGGUGAAUUUCGCGCAUGCUUAACUUGCCUGAUUUCGGACGUAAUUUACUUUCGGAUACAUGCUCCUCUUGUGUUUUUUUUCGAUGUUUUCUUAUGUAUGCAGAUUAAAAAAAACAGCUCAUGCUUAAAUGUGUUAUUGAGCAAGUGACUUCUAAUACUAUGGCAGGAAUAAAAAAAAACUGUUAUAAAAUUAAAAAGGAAGUUUAGUUACAUGUAUAAACUCACAGUCACAAGUGUUAACACCUGGCGUCGUGACCUGGAUGCAGAUUCUAAGCAGAUGGGCCAAAAUGGGGGCAGCUAGAGAGACUCGCCUGGAACUGACAAGCCUGGAGGGAGCUGGUUGACUGUUGGCGAGAUGGGACAACAGACGAAGAAUAAACGAACCUACUUGAUUUUUAUGUUUUUCAGUUUCGUCGGAAGACGUUUCCCACCAACCAUCCUGUCUUGAAAGAAAUAACUUUUGAACCCGAUUAUCUGAUAUUUUCCAGUUUCCCCUCACAACAAUUUGCAUCAAACCUCUUGUCUGCUCCUCAGCUGAAAUCAUCAUCUAGCAGUCACAAUAGUUGAGCGGUUGGAGAGGCAUGCAUUGCGUCCUACUACUGCUCAGACUAUAUCAUGUUUGGCAGACAAAACAUGCUGAUCAAAAAGAAUGUGUACCACAGGGGCCAGUGUUUCCAUUUGAGUGAUUGACAAGAAGAAGAAGAGAUGAGAAAUGUUAUCAUCAUAUUUUAGUCCCUACAUUUAUAGUGUACAGCUCAAUGUAUUGAACCGGUGUUGUAGAAUAUAAUUGGAGAUACAUGCGAACAUUAUAACAUUAUAUAUAAGAUGAUAUUUCAAAAGCAAUAAGAAAUAAAAAGUAUAAAAAGGUCAAAACAGUAAACCUUGUGUUUACAGUGGACAGGUUUAAAGUGGAAGUGACUAGUUAACUGUUGAUCAUAAGCUGCACUGAUGGAAAAAAUAGUGGGAAAUUACUAUCUAGAAAACUGUUUAACGUACGACAACAGUUGUGGAACUUCAUAAAUGACCGUAUGUAACAGGGCUGGGCAGUUUUCCUUAUAUAGCUAUAGUGAAACCUUUUGAACACUAGUGAAGUCACUGUUUUUUUCCCAAUCUUCAUGCAUUUUGGUCGAAUAUUUGUUCAAAUGAUGGCUCAGUCCAGUUUCGAAAUUUUUAUGUCUAUUCAAAAAACAUAUCCACUAGAGCGCGAGGCAAUUGUCUUAAUAUGGCUAUAAUGAAACCUUGUAAAUUCUCUAGAAGUGACAUUUUUAGCCAUAUCUCCAUAAAUUUUGGUCAGAAUAUUUAUUCUAAUGAUAUCUCAGUUGUCGAGUUUGUAACUGGUUCCGGUUUGUAGACUAACAUGGCUGCCAGUGGACAUGACAGUUUUUCUUAAAGUGCUAGAGUAGAACCUUGUUAACACACAAUUGGCCCUUGCAUUUUUCAUGAAAGAUGUCAGAGCAUUUGGCCCAAUGUAAUCUCAGCUGACUUUGAAACUGGAUCACAUAACGUCAAAAAGUGGGUCAAAAUGUCAAAUUAAAAAAAGCUUGUAAACACUGGAAGUUGCAUUUAAAAUUGUGUUCCUUUUUUAUGUCCCCCACUAAAGUAGUGGGGGACAUAUUGUUUUUGCCCUGUCUGUUGGUUGGUCUGUUGGUUGGUUGGUUGGUUUGCGCCAACUUUAACAUUUGCAAUAACUUUUGCAAUAUUGAAGAUAGGAACUUGAUAUUUUGCAUGCAUAUGUAUCUCAUGGAGCUGCACAUUUUGAGUGGUGAAAGGUCAAGGUCAUCCUUCAAGGUCAAAGGUCGAAUAUAUGGGUCAAAAUCGCUCAUUUAAUGUACACUUUUGCAGUAUUUCAAUAUUCAAGAUAGCAACUUGAUAUUUGGCAUGCAUGUGUAUCUCAUGGAGCUGCACAAUUUGAGUGGUGAAAGGUCAAGGUCAUCCUUCAAGGUCAGAUGUCAAAUAUAUGUGUCCAAAAUCGCUCAUUUUAUUAUACUUUUGCAAUAUUGAAGAUAGCAACUUGAUAUUUGGCAUGCAUGUGUAUCUCAUGGAUCUGCACAUUUUGAGUGGUGAAAGGUCAAGGUCAUCCUUCAAGGUCAGAGGUCAAAUAUAUGUGGCCCAAAUCACUAAUUUUAUGAAUACUUUUGCAAUAUUGAAGAUAGCAACUUGAUAUUUGGCAUGCAUGUGUAUCUCAUGGAGCUGCACAUUUUUAGUGGUGAAAGGUCAAGGUCAUCCUUCAAGGUCAAAUAUAUGGGUCAAAAUUGAUCAUGUAAUGUCACUUCUGCAAUAUUGAAGCUAGCAAUUUUAUAUUUGAAAUGCAUGUGUAUCUCAUGGAGCUGCACAUUUUGAGUGGUGAAGGGUCAAGGUCAUCCUACAAGGUCAAACGUCAUAUAGGGGGACAUUGUGUUUCACAAACACAUCUUGUUUAAAGUUUGUCAAAACAUUUGCUGUAAUGAAAAGCAAAGUCAAGUUUAUAAAUGAUUAUUUGCCUACAAAUUACAUAUUUUUCAUCAAGUUCAUUUAUUAUUCUAAACUACACCCUCUCAGAAUAGUUUAGUUCCUUCUGGUCACAGUUGAGCACCUUAGGGCUCUUGUUCUAUAAUUUGAUUGUUUUGGAAAAUUGUCAUUUUACCAAAAUGUGAGCAAGUCCAAAUUUAAUUAACCCUGCUUUGUAGUAUCUUGUUUUCCUUAUAUGUAUAAAGUGGAAAAUUAUCUAUGAAUCUGACUGCAUAGAUAUUUGGUAUUCAGCAUAGCAUCGUGUAAAUGUAGUAAAACUAAACACAAUUGUGUUAGCAUAAAACUGGCCAUGCCAUGGGGGUCAAAUGGUUAAUACAGACUUGUAGGAAAAAGACUUCUAAAAAUUUUAUCCGUUAAAUAUAUUUUGUGUACAUAAUGAUUAGCUUUUUCCUUCAACUUAUC
Molecule: long non-coding RNA, 3249 nt
Organism: Dreissena polymorpha
Lineage: Eukaryota; Metazoa; Mollusca; Bivalvia; Myida; Dreissenidae
Exons: 6
Source: RefSeq, a predicted model, not a curated record